RNAcentral lists this small nuclear RNA (104 nucleotides) under Zalophus californianus (California sea lion). Lineage: Eukaryota; Metazoa; Chordata; Mammalia; Carnivora; Otariidae. The record is from RNAcentral.
GUGCUCACUCCAGCAGCACAUAUACUAGAAUUGGAAUGAUAAGGAGAUUAGCAUGGUCCCUGCACAAGGAUGACACGCAAAUUUGUGAAGUGUUCCAUAUUUUU